Long non-coding RNA from Lepus europaeus (European hare), 1287 nucleotides. RefSeq lists it as uncharacterized. Lineage: Eukaryota; Metazoa; Chordata; Mammalia; Lagomorpha; Leporidae. The record is from RefSeq and is a predicted model, not a curated record. The transcript is spliced from 7 exons.
GGCUUAGUCCCACCGCCAUCUUUGUCUCGAGAUUUGCUGGAGCCGGACGACCCCUGCUGCUGGUGUAUUUAAAAGGCACGGACUUUUCAAGGGAGACUUUGCUAUUGUGAUACAGAAAAAGAGCCCUUGAAAGCUUUGCGCGAGUCUUGCAUAUUCUUUUUGAAGUCUUGGGGAGCAAAUUUCCAUAUUUUCAGCUCCCACUGCCCCUUUUUCCUGGGGGAUUUCUUUACCGUUUUCUUUACUGUAUCUUUUCCGUUUCCCCCGUAAGUACUUUUUUUGGUUGUUCCUUUUAAGCUGCUUCUCAGAAGUGGACCUGCUGCUUCCUACUUAAUGAAAAGUUUCUUUGAGCUGUCCCAAGAUAAUUUAAAGGAAAUCAGGAAAGCAAAGAAAAAGGAUUCCAAUUAUAAUGUAGUAAAUAAUUGAGAGGAGAGGCCGUGAGCAGUUAUUCCUCCCGUAAUUAUUAGCUCAGGGGUGACCAGAGGACCUGUGUGUAAACCAACAUCGCACCUUACGUGGCCGCGGCUGUGUUGUCUACACUGGGCCUUCACACGUCCAGGACUGUUUUAACUAUACAGCUUUACAGUUACAAACUUCAUACACUUCAUCAUUACAACUUUAGGAACAUGGCAGAAUGACAGAGACAGAGGAAGAAACCAAGAGAGAAAGAAAAAGAAAUCAUCCACCUGCGAGUUCACUCCCCAGAUGGCUGCAGCAGCCAGAUCUGAGCCAAACUGAAGUCAGAAGUGAGGAACUGUGUCUCGGGGUCCAAAUACUUGGGUCAUCAUCUGCCACCUUCUCAGAAUUUACAAGUUGAUUCUAAAAUUCAUAUAGAAAUGCAAAAGACCAAGAACAGUUAAGAUAAUUUUAAAGAAGAAAAAGGCUGGGGGACUUGCACCACCAGAUAUUGUGACUUGUUACAUUGCUACAGUAAUGAAGGCCAGGGACUCAAGACUAGGCAAAGAGUCCAAGGAAACAGAAUAGAAAGAACAGAAAUGAACCCACGGUCUGAAAGUGCAGAGGACAGAGGACACAGACUAUGGGGUGGAGUUACAGACAGUCUGAGGGACAGACAGAGAGAAAGGUCAUCCAUCCCCUGUGUCAAUCCCCAAAUGGCUGUGACUGCUGGAGCUGGGCUGAUCCAAAGCUAUGAUCUUGGAGCUUCUUCCAGGUCUCUCAUGGUGGGGGAACAUUGGACAUUUGAGCUGGAACUUGAAGGAUGUGAAGGGUUGGGCCAGGUGAAGCCCUUCCAAGCAGAGGGAACAGCAAGAACAAACAGGAGGACGUGGC